AGGCCUCAUUUGAGUUAUCGAAUUUCAUUUAAAAAAAUCAAAAUCCCUUCAAGAUCAUUCAAAUUUAUACAUGUUCACAUUAUUGGAAGUUCAUCAAGUUUUCAUUCAAAUGGCAUUCUUCGAAAAUUGCAAAUUAAAGGUCCUCACCACGAUACAAAGUUCAAUGCAUUCAAAAGUUCUGAUACAAUGUCAUGUUACAAGUUGCAAAAUGAAAUGCAAAUUAAAAAAGCUAUCAAAUUUAGAAGAUUCAUUACAUUCUCAACCAUUACACCAUGUUACAUUAUUGAGAUGAAAACGAAGCUACAAAAGAAAAUUGCAACUUUGCGAUGUCAAUGUUAG
This 339-nucleotide long non-coding RNA is filed under the name Vicia faba (fava bean). Lineage: Eukaryota; Viridiplantae; Streptophyta; Magnoliopsida; Fabales; Fabaceae. The record is from RNAcentral.